Gossypium arboreum is the source of this 105-nucleotide non-coding RNA. Lineage: Eukaryota; Viridiplantae; Streptophyta; Magnoliopsida; Malvales; Malvaceae. The record is from Rfam.
AUGCCAUGAUUAGGUCAUUUUCAUAAUAAUUCAUUGAAUCGCUCCCAUGCCUCAUAUAAAGAUUCUUCAUCAAGCUUUUGAUAUGAAGUGAUUAAUUAUGAUCUU